AAAUAGAGUUGCACUGAGCAUAAUGCCAAUGUAUGCGAUUUACUUCAAAUAAUUAAAAGUAGGAGUGACCUUGGAGAAACACAUAAGGAGCUUUUUACCAACUAUAUACAUUUUUUUUUUCAAUGGAAUGCCUGGAAAGUCAACAGGAAAAUAGGUGACUACUGUCGACCACGCACGAAAUUGAAGGUGUAAAGGCAAAUGCGCCUUUGAAGUGAAGGUUAGUGAGUUUUGAGUAAAAGUUUAUUUAAGAGUGAGUUGAACUAAAUCAUAAUCCAGUUUUCUUACCCUUAGAAUGGUGAAAUGGCCUCCUUUGUAUAGUUGUUUGCUCCGAAGUAGGCCUUAUCAUGUCAAGCGAACGAUGAUGCAUCGGUAUUUGUUCCUCUCAAGUGUUUCCAUAACCCCCAAUUGGCCAAUGAAGACAACACAGAUCAGUCCAUGUUAGCCUCAUGUCUAGCAACUGACUAGAUUGUCUUGUCAAGCCUUUCCAUUGGUGGAUAUGGGCGAGCUUGUUGUCCAAUUGAGGGACAAGCCGCUUAUUUGGUGAGCCGUGCUAUAGUACCGACAUGGAUGAUCGUGGGGCCGACGCAAUACACACACAUGAGGGUCGAGAUUAUUUUAUUCAUGGAGGACCCACGUCGGGAAUGUGAGGGCGCGAGCAACCUCGAGGUCAUCCUUGCGUGGUCGUUUGGCUUUUUCCUAUUUGGUGAUGACUUAACUAAUGUGUGGGUGAUCUUAACAACUUUGCUCUGACCUUGAAGGAUGAUGAAGUGGGCGGUGUUAUUAAGUUAAUAAUCAUGAAUUGGUUCAUGGUGUUUCGAGAUAUUUUUACAAUUUCGAUGUACUGUUUAGCAUUGAUCUCAUAAAUUAUCUUGAUCAUAUGGUAGACCAUCGAUGGAUCUAGCAACCGACGAGGUCUCGUGGUUGCUCGUACUGGCUCCGCUGCCAGACAAACGAGAAGUUCUUAAAGACUAGAUACUGGAGUUUCGAGAAAUGGAUAGUUACUUAUUUCAGUAAGUAGAACUUUUAGUUGAAGAAAUCCUCCUUCAUCUAGUUCCCAUUUUGGGCCAAGAAUGUUUCUUGUUUGAGUUUAGGGCUGGACAAAACUUUCGAACCGAAUCGAGCGGUUCUUCUUAAGUUAAAUACUCGAAUGGGUGUCUGAAUCGAGGAUCGACAUAUUUAGUUCGGUUCUCGAUUCUAAAUCAAGAAUCGAAGAACCGAAUAUUCCAAUUUUUUUUAAUUAAUUUAUUCUAAAUAAGCGAAAUUAUUUUAUUUUUUAAAAUAAAUUUGUUAACUAGUUAAU
RNAcentral lists this long non-coding RNA (1300 nucleotides) under Olea europaea subsp. europaea. Lineage: Eukaryota; Viridiplantae; Streptophyta; Magnoliopsida; Lamiales; Oleaceae. The record is from RNAcentral.